This 170-nucleotide ribosomal RNA is filed under the name uncultured bacterium. RNAcentral describes it as "partial 16S ribosomal RNA". It matches the Rfam family "Bacterial small subunit ribosomal RNA", at positions 338 to 525 of the family's 1533-position model. The record is from RNAcentral.
UCUACGGGAGGCAGCAGUUGGGAAUCUUCGGCAAUGGGCGCAAGCCUGACCGAGCAACGCCGCGUGAGUGAUGAAGGUUUUCGGAUUGUAAAGCUCUGUCUUCCGGGACGAUAAUGACGGUACCGGAGGAGGAAGCCACGGCUAACUACGUGCCAGCAGCCGCGGUAAUA